RNAcentral lists this ribosomal RNA (383 nucleotides) under uncultured bacterium. RNAcentral describes it as "bacterial SSU rRNA". It matches the Rfam family "Bacterial small subunit ribosomal RNA", at positions 362 to 749 of the family's 1533-position model. The record is from RNAcentral.
UUUUGGACAAUGGGGGCAACCCUGAUCCAGCCAUGCCGCGUGAGUGAAGAAGGCCUUCGGGUUGUAAAGCUCUUUCGGACGGAACGAAAUGGGCGGGACUAAUACUCCUGUCUGAUGACGGUACCGUAAGAAGAAGCACCGGCUAACUACGUGCCAGCAGCCGCGGUAAUACGUAGGGUGCGAGCGUUAAUCGGAAUUACUGGGCGUAAAGCGUGCGCAGGCGGUUUCGUAAGCUGGAGGUGAAAUCCCCGGGCUUAACCUGGGAAUGGCCUUCAGACUGCAGGCAGAGUGCGGCAGAGGGGGGUGAAUUCCACGUGAGCAGUAAAUGCGAGAAUGUGAGAACACCAUGGCAAGGAGCCUCCUGGCCCGACUGCGUAUGCAAA